This 241-nucleotide ribosomal RNA is filed under the name uncultured bacterium. RNAcentral's name for it is "partial 16S ribosomal RNA". It matches the Rfam family "Bacterial small subunit ribosomal RNA", at positions 15 to 240 of the family's 1533-position model. The record is from RNAcentral.
GAUCCUGGCUCAGGAUGAACGCUAGCUACAGGCUUAACACAUGCAAGUCGAGGGGCAGCAUGUUGGUUGCUUGCAACCAACGAUGGCGACCGGCGCACGGGUGAGUAACGCGUAUCCAACCUACCCUUGUCCAUCGGAUAACCCGUCGAAAGGCGGCCUAACACGAUAUGCGGUUCUCAGCAGGCGAUCUAACGAGAACGAAAUAAUAAAGAAAGGAAAGGGAAGUAGGGGAGGUGCGGUC